This 443-nucleotide ribosomal RNA is filed under the name uncultured prokaryote. RNAcentral's name for it is "bacterial SSU rRNA". It matches the Rfam family "Bacterial small subunit ribosomal RNA", at positions 338 to 774 of the family's 1533-position model. The record is from RNAcentral.
CCUACGGGUGGCAUCAGAGCAGAAUCAUCCACAAUGGGCGAAAGCCUGAUGGUGCGACGCCGCGUGAGGGAUGAAGGCCUUAGGGUUGUAAACCUCUGUUGAGAGCUAGGAACAUGUUGGGGAUUAACACUCUCCGAUAUUGACCAACUCUUGAGGAAGCUCCGGCUAACUCCGUGCCAGCAGCCGCGGUAAGACGGAGGGAGCUAGCGUUACUCGGAAUCACUGGGCGUAAAGGGCGUGUAGGCGGAUUAGAAAGUCGGGCGUGAAAUACCUCGGCUCAACCGAGGAAUUGCGUCCGAAACUUCUUUUCUUGAGUGUGGGAGGGGAGAGUGGAACUCCUGGUGGAGCGGUGAAAUGCGUAGAUAUCAGGAGGAACGCCGGUGGCGAAAGCGGCUCUCUGGUCCACUACUGACGCUGAGGCGCGAAAGCCAGGGGAGCAAACG